RNAcentral lists this transfer RNA (74 nucleotides) under Ipomoea nil (Japanese morning glory). It matches the Rfam family "tRNA". Rfam says of the family: Transfer RNA (tRNA) molecules are approximately 80 nucleotides in length. Their secondary structure includes four short double-helical elements and three loops (D, anti-codon, and T loops). Further hydrogen bonds mediate the characteristic L-shaped molecular structure. tRNAs have two regions of fundamental functional importance: the anti-codon, which is responsible for specific mRNA codon recognition, and the 3' end, to which the tRNAs corresponding amino acid is attached (by aminoacyl-tRNA synthetases). tRNAs cope with the degeneracy of the genetic code in two manners: having more than one tRNA (with a specific anti-codon) for a particular amino acid; and 'wobble' base-pairing, i.e. permitting non-standard base-pairing at the 3rd anti-codon position. The record is from Rfam by way of RNAcentral. Lineage: Eukaryota; Viridiplantae; Streptophyta; Magnoliopsida; Solanales; Convolvulaceae.
GCUUUUAUAGCUUAGUUGGUUAGAGCACCUGUUUAGUAAGUGGGAGGUCUUGAGUUUAACUCUUAACAAUAAUG